CCUACGGGAGGCAGCAGUGAGGAAUAUUGGUCAAUGGGCGCGAGCCUGAACCAGCCAAGUAGCGUGAAGGAUGACUGCCCUACGGGUUGUAAACUUCUUUUAUAAAGGAAUAAAGUUAGGCACGUGUGCCUUUCUGUAUGUACUUUAUGAAUAAGGAUCGGCUAACUCCGUGCCAGCAGCCGCGGUAAUACGGAGGAUCCGAGCGUUAUCCGGAUUUAUUGGGUUUAAAGGGAGCGUAGAUGGGUUGUUAAGUCAGUGGUGAAAGUAUGCGGCUUAACCGUAAAAUUGCAAUUGAUACUGGCAGCCUUGAGUACAGUUGAGGUAGGCGGAAUUCGUAGUGUAGCGGUGAAAUGCUUAGAUAUCACGAAGAACUCCGAUUGCGAAGGCAGCUUACUAAACUGCCACUGACAUUGAUGCUCGAAAGUGUGGGUAUCAAACAGGAUUAGAUACCCUAGUAGUC
Molecule: ribosomal RNA, 460 nt
Filed under: uncultured bacterium
Lineage: Bacteria
Description: partial 16S ribosomal RNA
Rfam family: Bacterial small subunit ribosomal RNA
Source: RNAcentral